This 4548-nucleotide ribosomal RNA is filed under the name Triticum aestivum (bread wheat). RNAcentral describes it as "partial small subunit ribosomal RNA". The record is from RNAcentral. Lineage: Eukaryota; Viridiplantae; Streptophyta; Magnoliopsida; Poales; Poaceae.
AUGCAGUUCCAGUCUGGCAACUGUGCCAAAACGUUGGCAAAAGUAGAUGGAUCUGGUGCAAAAGAUUUGUCAGUCGACCGAAGCACAUUUGGUUUUCCACAAGAUGCUAAUCAGGAAUAUUUUAACCGGGCUUGCCAGUACAGUUAUCCAGUUUCAACGCAAGGCUUUCAAGAUAAAGGAUUUGUACCAAGCGUUCCAGAUUUUGUUCUGAAUAAUGCUUCUGCUGCACUCAGGGAAUAUCAACAAUUUGACCACUUUUUCAGACCACUUCAGCCUCUAGCACCGGAUGGAAACCAGGUGCAAAAUAUUGGCAUAAAUACCGCACAUCGCAGUAGACCUUCUAAUGCAUCCUCCUGCCUUGAUCAUGUAGAAGAAAUAACUUCUCAUGACACGGACGGUUAUGACGACAGAGCUAUCUCAUUUGGGAGUAGCUGCAGCACAGGAAUUGCGUGUUAUCCAUAUAGCAGCCCUAUGCAAAGCGAUGACUGCAUUGCAGACACGCAGGAUGGGACCUGGGCUGCUCUUAUGCAAAUGCAACAGGCUUUGGAGGCGGCUAAUGAAGAGUGCAGUGACUUGACUUUCAAUAACACAGAACUUUCAGGUGGGAAUACCAUGCAGCAUCAAAUUGUUUGGGACAAUGGCUGUUUAGCAAGUCCAUCUUUCACCUCAAACUUUUUACCCUUCCCUGGAGAGGCUGAAACCACGGUCACAAAUACCAGCGAUAUGUAUAACUUACAUAACUCUGCUGAUCUCCUGUAUGAUAAUGAUCAAGACAUAUCAUCUUUUGAGCUCAAAGUGAAUGAACAGAAAGAAGCAACCACAAGCCAUGUUUGUGAACAUCGAGGUGAAAUGCAUUCUGCUGAACAGGGGGGAUAUCCUGGCCACGACGAAUCUUUUGAUUUGACAAUAAGCCAGGACAGACAGUUCAGUUCAUUUGUUAAUGGUGCAGAUGGAUCUGUAGAUAGUGAAAUGAACCUUUAUGAUUGUGAAGAGCAAAUGGAAAUUGAUUCACUCCUAAAUUCAUUUGGAGCAUCAAGUGAUACCUUUGCACAGACAUAUGAAAUGUUACAGAAAGGUGAAAAUAUUGUUGACCUUGAAAAAAAGGCUAAAUUAGCGGAAAGCAUUUCUGCUACAUUCAUCACUAAUACUGUCCCAUAUAUUACACAAGCUGGGGCGACUGAGUCAACUGUCUCUGAUGGAUCUUCUUGGACUCAACAAUAUCAAUCUACUUCCCAGUCAUGUGGUUUAUCUUAUUCUUCAGCUUCUCAAUGGGAAACCAUGCCAGGCGUGGAUGGUCAAAGGAGCCACCUAUACCGCGACGAAGCACUGGCAACCCAAGGUGUAUGGGCGGCACAUCCUGGUACGAUGGUACACUCUUCAACUGAUACUGGAUAUUCAGAUGUACAGCCGCCCAUGACACAGACUACUACUGUUCCGCUGCCUGCUCCGAGCUUGUCCAAGGGCCCCAACUCAUUAUUUACUGGAACAGAGCUUAACAAGGUUGACCUACAUGAUACAGGUAUGCAGAUGCCUUUGACACAGACUACUGUUCAGCUGCCUGCUCCGUGCUUGUCCAAGGACCCCAACUCAUCAUUUAUUGGAGCAGAGGUUCAGAAGGUUGACCAAAAUCAUUCAGAUACGGAGCUUCCCUUGACACAGACUAGUCAUGUUCAGCUGCCUGCUAUGAACUUGUCCGAGUACCCGACCUCGUCAUUUGUUGGAGGAACAAAGCUUAAAAAAGUUGACAAACAUGAUUCAUAUAUGCAGCUUCCCAUGACACAUGCUAGUCAUGUUCCGCUGCCUGCUACGAGCUUAUCCGAGGAUCCGAAAUCAUCAUUUAUUGGAGGAACAGAGCUUAAGGAAGUUGACAAACAUGAUUCAGACAUGCAGCUUCCCAGGAUACAGGCUAGUCAUGUUCCGCUGCCUGCUGUGAGCUUGUCCGAGGAACCGAACUCAUCCUUUAUUGGAGGCACAGAGCUUAAGGAAGUUCAUAAACAUGAUUCAGAUAUGCCGCUUCCCAUGACACGGGCUAGUCAUGUUCCGCUGCCUGCUGUGAGCUUAUCUGAGGACACGAAAUCAUCAUUUAUCGCAGGAGCAGAGCUUAAGGAAGUUGACAAACAUGAUUCAGAUACGCCGCUUCCCAUGGCACAGGCUAGUCAUGUUCCGCUGCCUACCAUGAGCUUACCUGAGGACACGAAAUCGUCAUUUAUUGGAGGAACAGAGCUUAAGGAAGUUGACAGACAUGAUUCAGAUAUGCAGCAUCCCAUGACACCGGCUAGUCAUGUUCUGCUGCCUGCUGUGAGCAUGUCCAUGGAUCCAGAAUCAUCAUUUACUGGAGGUACAGAGCUUAAGGAAGUUGGCAAACAUGAUUCAGAUAUGCAGCUUCCCAUGACGCAGACUGUUCAUGUUCAGCUGCCUACUCCGAGCUUGUCCAAGGACUCCGAGUCGUCGUUUGUUGGAGGUACAGAGCUUAAGGAAGUCGACAAACAUGAUUCAGAUAUGCAGCCUCCCAUGACGCAGGCUAGUCAUGUUCCGCUGCCUGCUGUGAGCUUGUCCGAGGACCCGAACUCAUCCUUUAUUGGAGGUACAGAACUUAAGGAAGUCGGCAAACAUGAUUCAGAUAUUCAGCUUCCCAUGACACAGACUGUUUGUGUUCAGCUGCCUGCUAUGAACUUAUCCGAGGAUCCGAAAUCAUCAUUUAUCAAAGGAACAGAGCUUAAGGAAGUUGGCAAACAUGAUUCAGAUAUACCGCUUCCCGUGGCACAGGCUAGUGAUGUUCCCCUGCCUACCAUGAGCUUACCCGAGGACACGAAAUCAUCAUUUAUUGGAGGAACAGAACUUAAGGAAGUUGACAAACAUGAUUCAGAUAUGCAGCCUCCCAUAACACUGGCUAGUCAUGUUCCACUGCCUGCUGUGAGCUUGUCCGAGGACCCAAAAUCAUCAUUUUCUGGAGGUACAGACCUUAAGGAAGUUGGCAAACAUGAUUCAGAUAUGCAGCUUCACAUGACGCAGACUGUUCGUGUUCAGCUGCAUGCUCCGAGCUUGUCCAAGGACUCUGAGUCGUCAUUUGUUGGAGGAACAGAGCUUAAGGAAGUCGACAAACAUGAUUCAGAUAUGCAGCCUCCCAUAACGCAGGCUAGUCAUGUUCCGUUGCCUGCUGUGAGCUUGUCCAAGGACCCGACCUCAUCCUUUAUUGGAGGUACAGUGCUUAAGGAAGUUGGCAAACAUGAUUCAGAUAUUCAGCUUCCCAUGACACAGACUGUUCGUGUUCAGCUGCCUGCUAUGAGCUUAUCCGAGGAUCCGAAAUCAUCAUUUAUCAGAGGAACAGAGCUUAAAGAAGUUGACAAACAUGAUUCAGAUAUACCGCUUCCCAUGGCACAUGCUAGUCAUGUUCCACUGCCUACCGUGAGCUUACCCGAGGACACGAAAUCGUCAUCUAUUGGAGGAACCGAGCUUAAGGAAGUUGACAAACACGAUUCAGAUAUGCAGCCUCCCAUAACACCGGCUAUUCAUGUUCCGCUGCCUGCUGUGAGCUUGUCCGAGGACCCGAAAUCAUCAUUUACUGGAGGUACAGAGCUUAAGGAAGUUGGCAAACAUGAUUCAGAUAUGCAGCUUCCCAUGACGCAGACUGUUCGUGUUCAGCUGCCUGCUCUGAGCUUGUCCAAGGACCCCGACUCGGCAUUUGUUGGAAGAACAGAGCUUAAGAAGGUUGGACAACUUGAUUAUAGCCACGUUGGAUUUCCUCAGGAAAGUAUCCUGCUCUCAGCAAGCAAACCUUCACACCCAAGCGGUUUGCCAGUUAUGAAGUUUGAUGACGAGGUGGGUUCACGGUCUAAGAAGCGGAAAAGGUCAACAGCAGAUGUUUUAGCAUCGCAUGCACAAGCCAUGUUCGAGGGUGGGAGACUGCAAUGUAGAAGGACACCUGAGUUGGCUUGGGCCGAUUCCACAUUGACUGAGAAGGUUGACGGUGAAAAAGCAAUGACGGAAAAUAGCACCUUCGUUUCUCGAGCUCGGAGAAGACUUACUUUAACGACCAGCUUGAUUCAGUGUCUCCUUCCUGCUCUGUCAGCGAGACUUCUUGCAGCAAAAGUUGCUGAUUGCGGUGAAGCCAUUGUGUACCACAUUUGUAAACUGAUGCUCAGUGAUAUAUCUGACCCAGUUCAACCUUUUGCCAGCGACACCAAUAACUUCAUGCAAAGUGAAAACAUGCCACCGAACGAGACAAGCACCUCCGGAAAGGAGGAGGACUGUAAACUCUUAUCUGAGGUUCUGGAAACCUUCGAUGCGAGGCUUGACGGGCUACAAGGCUCCUUGUCAAGAGUCGAGAAGUUGCCCAGCUUCCAGGACUACGCGUCGGCGCUACACCAAAUCGAGCAGUGGGCCAUGACCCAUCAGUUCAUAAAGCUGAACGAAUACAAGAGACUGCACGCCGGCUACGGCUCUGGUCCUAAAAGGCCUCUCUGCGUCGGAGCCAUCCGGAAGCAUGCCGGAGGUUCUUCCGCUCCGGUCUCAGAGCUGAAAAGGGUCCGGUGUCGCUCACUGAAGUAG